This 434-nucleotide ribosomal RNA is filed under the name uncultured bacterium. RNAcentral describes it as "partial 16S ribosomal RNA". It matches the Rfam family "Bacterial small subunit ribosomal RNA", at positions 29 to 507 of the family's 1533-position model. The record is from RNAcentral.
AGCGAACGCUGGCGGCAGGCUUAACACAUGCAAGUCGAACGAACCUUUCGGGGUUAGUGGCGGACGGGUGAGUAACACGUGGGAACGUGCCUUUAGGUUCGGAAUAACUCAGGGAAACUUGUGUUAAUACCGAAUGUGCUCUUCGCGGGAAAGAUUACUUGCGUUUAGAGCGGCCCUCGUCUGAUUAGCUGGUUGGUUGAGGUAAUGGCUCAUCACGGCGACGAACAGUAGCUGUUAGGGGCAGAUGAUCAGCCACGUCGGCGCUGAGACACGGACCAAACUCCUACGGAGGGGAGCAGUGGGGAAUAUUGCGCGAUGGGCGAAAGCCUGACGCAGCCGUGCCGCGUGAAUGAUGAAGGUCUUAGGAUUGUAAAAUUCUUUCACCGGGGACGUUAGUGACGGUACCCGGAGAAGAAGCCCCGGCUAACUACGUG